This 272-nucleotide long non-coding RNA is filed under the name Fukomys damarensis (Damara mole-rat). RNAcentral's name for it is "lncRNA (ENSFDAG00000028970.1)". Lineage: Eukaryota; Metazoa; Chordata; Mammalia; Rodentia; Bathyergidae. The record is from RNAcentral.
CUGCGUUUGUCCGGAAAUUGACCUCUGUGUGCUGGAGUACAGCUAUAUUGCACUGAUUGUUCUGAAAAACAAGUAUCGGCUGAAAACAGACAACCUACUGGCAGCUGUUACACUAGAACCACCAAAGUCCAGUCUCAUUUUGAUGGAAGAAAGAAAGUUUUUCCCUUCUAACACGCCAAUAGUUAAUGGUGUUGGGCAUUUUGUCUCAGCAAUGAGAGAAAGCAACUAAGACAAAGAGUGUCCAAACCCAAAGGUCAAGGCAUGCCUUCAAU